RNAcentral lists this ribosomal RNA (273 nucleotides) under uncultured bacterium. RNAcentral's name for it is "partial 16S ribosomal RNA". It matches the Rfam family "Bacterial small subunit ribosomal RNA", at positions 524 to 794 of the family's 1533-position model. The record is from RNAcentral.
UACGUAGGGACCCAAGCGUUGUUCGGAUUUACUGGGCGUAAAGGGCGCGUAGGCGGCAGAUCAAGUCAGUUGUGAAAUCUCUGGGCUUAACUCAGAACUGUCAACUGAUACUGUUUUGCUAGAGUGCGGAAGGGGCAAUCGGAAUUCUCGGUGUAGCGGUGAAAUGCGUAGAUAUCGAGAGGAACACCUGAGGUGAAGACGGGUUGCUGGGCCGACACUGACGCUGAGUGCGCGAAAGCCAGGGGAGCAAACGGGAUUAGAAACCCUAGUAGU